AAUUUCCAAAUUCUCAAAAACUAAAACCUACAACAUGUUAAAUCCAAUUUUCAGAAUCAAUGACUUAAGAUUAUUGAAUGUUAGUCCCACCCUUACCUUAGAAUAAGAAAAUCGCAGCCUCUAUGUGCUUCUCCCUUCUCUUGGCUUUUUCUCCCUUUUCUCCAAAAUUGGUCGUACGUUAUGUUUUUUCUAAACUAGGUUUAUCCUAUUUAUAACCUUUUUUUCUAUUUUAUCUUAUUUCUCUUUCUCCCCCAAAACUCUCUAAAAUCUCAUAACAAACUCUCAACUCAAUCUUAUUUCUAUUUUCAAAUCUUAAUUUAUUAAAUAACAUAAGCCACUUAAUAAAUCACAUAAUCAAAUAAAUAUAUUUUAAACUCUUCUUAAUAAAUUUUAGACUCAAUUAAAUAA
RNAcentral lists this long non-coding RNA (408 nucleotides) under Medicago truncatula (barrel medic). RNAcentral describes it as "long non-coding RNA (MTRU_LNC007838)". The record is from RNAcentral. Lineage: Eukaryota; Viridiplantae; Streptophyta; Magnoliopsida; Fabales; Fabaceae.